CAUUAGAUGGCUGAAAAUAGCAUUGGUCUCUUAAACCAUUUUAUAGUAUCUAAUACUUCUAAUGA
RNAcentral lists this transfer RNA (65 nucleotides) under Loxilobus prominenoculus. RNAcentral's name for it is "tRNA-Lys". It matches the Rfam family "tRNA". Rfam says of the family: Transfer RNA (tRNA) molecules are approximately 80 nucleotides in length. Their secondary structure includes four short double-helical elements and three loops (D, anti-codon, and T loops). Lineage: Eukaryota; Metazoa; Arthropoda; Insecta; Orthoptera; Tetrigidae. The record is from RNAcentral.